CAAAGAGUAGUUUAAAUUAAAAUGCCGGCUUUGGGGGUCGGAGAUGGAGUAAUUCUUCUUUGA
Molecule: transfer RNA, 63 nt
Filed under: Hebius optatus (Mount Omei keelback)
Lineage: Eukaryota; Metazoa; Chordata; Lepidosauria; Squamata; Natricidae
Description: Hebius optatum (Mount Omei keelback) tRNA-Pro
Source: RNAcentral